RNAcentral lists this ribosomal RNA (113 nucleotides) under Caerostris extrusa. Lineage: Eukaryota; Metazoa; Arthropoda; Arachnida; Araneae; Araneidae. The record is from RNAcentral.
AACGGCCAUACCAUGCUGAAUAUACCGGUUCUCGUUAGAUCACCGAAGUCAAGCAUCAUUGGGCGCGGUCAGUACUUGGGUGGGUGACCACCAGGGAACACCGCGUGCCGUUG